AUCUAUGGCCAUACUAUUCUGAAUACAUCCCAUCUCGUCUGAUCUCGGAAGCUAAGUAGUGCCAGGCCUGGUUAGUACUUGGAUGGGAGACCGCCUGGGAAUACCAGGUGCUAUAUUUU
Molecule: ribosomal RNA, 119 nt
Organism: Bison bison bison
Lineage: Eukaryota; Metazoa; Chordata; Mammalia; Artiodactyla; Bovidae
Source: Ensembl